Molecule: non-coding RNA, 102 nt
Organism: Paxillus rubicundulus Ve08.2h10
Lineage: Eukaryota; Fungi; Basidiomycota; Agaricomycetes; Boletales; Paxillaceae
Source: Rfam
GGGUGCAUAGCGCAGUGGUAGCGCGCAUGCUUUGCAAGCCUCUAUGUAACGAACUUACAUAGUAUGUGUAUGAGGUCCAGGGUUCAAUCCCCUGUGCAUCCA